RNAcentral lists this non-coding RNA (105 nucleotides) under Fibrobacter sp. Its description in RNAcentral is "TPP sequence". It matches the Rfam family "TPP riboswitch aptamer (THI element)". Rfam says of the family: Vitamin B(1) in its active form thiamin pyrophosphate (TPP) is an essential coenzyme that is synthesised by coupling of pyrimidine and thiazole moieties in bacteria. The previously detected thiamin-regulatory element, thi box was extended, resulting in a new, highly conserved RNA secondary structure, the THI element, which is widely distributed in eubacteria and also occurs in some archaea. Lineage: Bacteria; Pseudomonadati; Fibrobacterota; Fibrobacteria; Fibrobacterales; Fibrobacteraceae. The record is from RNAcentral.
CUGAUUCAUUCGGGGUGCUGCUUACGUGAGUGCGGAGCGGCUGAGAAAAUACCCGGGAUCCUGAUCAGGGUAAUGCCUGCGGAGGUAAUAUGAACGAGAAAACUA